UGUAAUCUUGGGCCAUGCCCAACCUCUUUUCAGUAAUGAAAGUUUUAAUUUCUCAAAAAAAAAAGCAUCAAAGAUAUAAGUACUAAUUGAUGAUACAAGAUUGCACACAUGGAUCUAAAUUAAGAAGUUGACCCUAGCAUGUGGGCAGUGUGUCCCACCUCCAAUAGAAGAUGGCUGCCUACUAAAAAGGAGUCGACGAGCCAUAAGUCGUCGACCCCACAAGGUCGAUGGCCCCAAAUCCUAAUAGAUGGUCGUCGACCUUGACCAUAGGUAGUCAUUCUGGUGUCAAAACCGAC
Molecule: long non-coding RNA, 296 nt
Filed under: Zostera marina
Lineage: Eukaryota; Viridiplantae; Streptophyta; Magnoliopsida; Alismatales; Zosteraceae
Description: long non-coding RNA (ZMAR_LNC004640)
Source: RNAcentral